Molecule: ribosomal RNA, 255 nt
Filed under: uncultured bacterium
Lineage: Bacteria
Description: partial 16S ribosomal RNA
Rfam family: Bacterial small subunit ribosomal RNA
Source: RNAcentral
UACGAAGGGGGCUAGCGUUGCUCGGAAUCACUGGGCGUAAAGCGCACGUAGGCGGACUCUUAAGUCAGGGGUGAAAUCCUGGAGCUCAACUCCCAGAACUGCCUUUGAUACUGGGGAGCCUUGAGUUCGGGAGAGGUGAGUGGAACUGCGAGUGUAGAGGUGAAAUUCGUAGAUAUUCGCAAGAACACCAGUGGCGAAGGCGGCUCACUGGCCCGAUACUGACGCUGAGGUGCGAAAGCGUGGGGAGCAAACAGG